This 481-nucleotide unclassified non-coding RNA is filed under the name plant metagenome. RNAcentral describes it as "partial contains 5.8S ribosomal RNA, internal transcribed spacer 2, and large subunit ribosomal RNA". The stretch from base 1 to 105 matches the Rfam family "5.8S ribosomal RNA", at positions 50 to 154 of the family's 154-position model. The record is from RNAcentral.
GAAAUGCGAUACGUAAUGUGAAUUGCAGAAUUCAGUGAAUCAUCAAAUCCUUGAACGCAACUUGCGCUCGCAGGUCCUCCUGCGAGCAUGCCUGUUCCAGCAUCGGUUCAUUAUCUCAACAAUAAAAAACUUGCAUCACGCGAGUUCGGCGUUGUUGAGGAGUUGAGGCGUCAAGCGCACUCUAGCAGUGCUCUUGUCCCUUUCAAUCGAUCAGAGAACUCUGUCUUGCACUAUCUGUAGAACAUUAAUCUAUGGAUUGCAAUGUCAACCAACAAUUUGGUGCAUUAAUUUCCUUCAUCGGAAAAUACUCGCCACGAUUGGUCGGACCUGACUUGCUCUCACACCAAACAUAGAGUUCUACAACCGCAAUUGACAAGAGUGCUGUCAAGCGAGCGAUCGCCAACGCACUGCGUUGCUGCGCGCUCCACGACUUCUCAAACUUCGAUCUGGAAUCAGGUAAGACUACCCGCUGAAUUUAAGC